UUUCUUACAAUACACACAAAUAGUUACCACGGUUCAAAACUUUGUUUUUUCUUUACAGGCACACAGUACCGUCAGAAAAGCGAUCAGGCACCUCCCCCAUCAGCGCCAGCAACGAAGUCGCUGACAAGGUGGAUAUGCGAUGGAUGACUGCCUUGACCAGACUGCACCCAGCUACCUCCAGACCCUCAUCUCUCCCUACACCCCCACUCGACCUCUCCGCUCCGCCUGCACUAGAAGACUGGCUCUACCUCCGCUACACUCCCUGCCUCCCGAGCCCGCUCCUUCUCCACCCUUGCUCCGCAGUGGUGGAACGACCUUCCUACAGAUGUCAGGACUGCCCAGUCCCUGACCACAUUCCGGCGCCUCCUUAAGACUCACCUCUUCAAACAGCACCUGUAGAACUCCUCUGUUGUAUCUUGGGACACUAUCACCCUUCAUUUAAAUAUGUUUUAUUUUGCUCUUAUCUGCCCCCUAUUUUACUACAUUUAAUCCUGUACUUCAGAAUACUGUAAUCUGCCAAGUGUUUAACCUGUAGUACUUUGUAUUUAAUCAUAUCCUGAUGUAACUAUCACUAUUUAAUCAUAUCCUGAUGUAACUUUCACUAUUAUCUGCUGUAUUAUUGAAUUGUUUUUUGUCACACUUGAAAAAAAAAAAUUGUAUUUCUUGCUCUUAUUGUAUGACCUGUAUUGUAACACUUGAAUGUAUUUGUA
Acipenser ruthenus (sterlet) is the source of this 710-nucleotide long non-coding RNA. RefSeq lists it as uncharacterized. Lineage: Eukaryota; Metazoa; Chordata; Actinopteri; Acipenseriformes; Acipenseridae. The transcript has 3 exons. The record is from RefSeq and is a predicted model, not a curated record.